RNAcentral lists this ribosomal RNA (440 nucleotides) under uncultured bacterium. RNAcentral's name for it is "bacterial SSU rRNA". It matches the Rfam family "Bacterial small subunit ribosomal RNA", at positions 338 to 795 of the family's 1533-position model. The record is from RNAcentral.
CCUACGGGCGGCAGCAGUGGGGAAUAUUGCACAAUGGGCGCAAGCCUGAUGCAGCCAUGCCGCGUGUAUGAAGAAGGCCUUCGGGUUGUAAAGCACUUUCGACGGGGACGAUGAUGACGGUACCCGUAGAAGAAGCCCCGGCUAACUUCGUGCCAGCAGCCGCGGUAAUACGAAGGGGGCUAGCGUUGCUCGGAAUGACUGGGCGUAAAGGGCGCGUAGGCGGUUUAUGCAGUCAGAUGUGAAAUCCCCGGGCUUAACCUGGGAACUGCAUUUGAGACGCAUAGACUAGAGGUCGAGAGAGGGUUGUGGAAUUCCCAGUGUAGAGGUGAAAUUCGUAGAUAUUGGGAAGAACACCGGUGGCGAAGGCGGCAACCUGGCUCGAUACUGACGCUGAGGCGCGAAAGCGUGGGGAGCAAACAGGAUUAGAUACCCCAGUAGUC